This 1412-nucleotide long non-coding RNA is filed under the name Gallus gallus (chicken). Its description in RNAcentral is "long non-coding RNA NONGGAT001387". Lineage: Eukaryota; Metazoa; Chordata; Aves; Galliformes; Phasianidae. The record is from RNAcentral.
GAGGGCCAAAGGCCCAGAGGAGGGCAUGACCAGACCAUGGAACCUUCCUGUUCUCUGCUGCUCAGCUGGAUAGUUGUUUCACCUUCCACAGGGACAUCGGUAAAAAGAUAAGUAAUCAAACUAAAACCAGCUUGGUUGCUUUUUUGGCAAUCAGCUUCUGUCAGUGGCCUUGGUGAUGGGGUAGGCAUAUCACAGCAGUCAUAACACUUGCAGUUCCCUGUGUCAGUCAGUCACUGGCGACAUGGUGGGCAUAGGAAGAUCAUAAGAACUUGUCUGCCAGCUGAGGCCACAUGUGAGCAGAAUAUUGUGUAGGGGCUGAGGUAAGUGGACAGAACAAAAGGCAUGGAAGGAAGGGCAUGUCCCAGGGCAGGAAGGUGAGGGUGUCUGUGAUGCUGCAAACUGUGUGUCCUCCACCUUUGUCUUUGAGGCCAAGAGGCCCAGAGGUGGAUAUAACCAGACCAUUGAACGUUCCUGUCCUCUCCUGCUCAUCUGAAGAGAUGUUCUGCCUUCUACAAGCACACUGAUACAAAGAUAAGUAAUCAAAAUAACAUGCGCCGGCUGUAAUUUGGUUGUCAACUUCUGGCAACUUUCUUGGUGAUGCCGUGGGCAUGCCAAAGCAGGCAUAAGCCUGGCAGUACCAUGUGUCACAUAGGCAUUGGCAACAUGGCAUGCAUUGGGAGAUCAUAGAAGGAGCUGCACAUCUCUGCCAGACCAAGCAAGAGGAGAGAAGGAUGGUUAGCAUAUGCAGUGGUGAGAGGACAGGACAGCGGACAUAGAAGGGAAGGUUUGCGCCUGGGCAAUGAGGCAGGAGUGGUUGUGAUGCAACAGACUGUGUGUCCCCCUCCUUUGUCUUGGAGGGACAGAGGCCCAGAGGAGAGCAUGACCAGACCGUGGAACCCUUCAGUCUUCUGCUGCUCCACCUUUCACAGGGACAUCAAUACAAUGAUAAGUAAUCAAACUAACACCAGCUUGGCUGUACUUUUGGCGAUCAGCUUCUGUCUGCGGCCUUGGUGAUGGGGUGUGCAUGUCACAGCAGGCACAACAUUGGCAGUUCCCUGUGUCACACAAGCACUGGCAACAUGGCAUUGGAAGACCAUAGAAAAAGCUGCAUCCCUCUGCCAGCCCAGGACAGAGGAGAGCAGGAUGGUUAGCAGAGGCACAGGGCCAGAGGCCAUGGAACCUUCCUGUCCACUUCUUCUCCCUGGAACAGUGAUACAAGCAUAAAGGUCCACAGGAGAACUUCCCCAGACUGUGGAACCCUCCUGUCCUCUGCUGCUCAGCUGUAGAGUUGUUCCAUUUUCUACAAGGACAUCAGUACAAAGGUUUCUACAUUCAUCUGUGAAUUAUUGGAACUAAUGAAAAGGAUGCACAGCAUCAGACUGUAUUGCUGCUUGUCCUUGGAGUUUGCUGAA